GUCGCCCAUGAGGUCAGAGGAAAUGUCUCCAAGAAUUAAAUUAAGGAUCCUCAUACAUUUCCUAAUGGUCUUCCCUGCAUGCAUUUCGUCACAGACCUUAACUGAGUCUGGUGGUGGCAUCAAGAGGCCAGGAGAGAACCUACGACUGACCUGUACGGUGUCAUUUGAUUUAACAAGCUAUGAAGUGAGCUGGGUUCGUCAGCCACCCGGAAAGGGACUGGAGUGGAUGGGAAUUAUCUGGACUGGUGGAAGCACUAGCUAUAACAGUGCUCUCCAAAGUCGGAUCAGCAUCACGAGGGACACCUCCCAAAGACAAGUUUUCCUGCAGCUGAGCAGCCUGAAAGCUGAAGACGCCUCCAUGUAUUACUGUGCGAGACGGCACAGAGAGAUAAAUCUUGCCAGGGACAGAUCAAAAACUCCCCUUCUAGAAGACCAGAUAUCCUUUGCAUCUGGGCCAUGUAUUCGCCAGCUGUAA
Molecule: non-coding RNA, 475 nt
Organism: Eublepharis macularius
Lineage: Eukaryota; Metazoa; Chordata; Lepidosauria; Squamata; Eublepharidae
Source: the annotation of a RefSeq genome assembly